Molecule: small nuclear RNA, 107 nt
Organism: Meriones unguiculatus (Mongolian gerbil)
Lineage: Eukaryota; Metazoa; Chordata; Mammalia; Rodentia; Muridae
Source: Ensembl
GUGUUCACUUCGGCAGCAUGUAUAUGAAAACUGGAAUGAUGCAAAGAAGAUUAGCAUGGCCCCUGUGCAAGGAUGACAAGCAAAUUCUUGAAGAAAGCGAGAUGCCU